This 474-nucleotide ribosomal RNA is filed under the name uncultured bacterium. RNAcentral's name for it is "bacterial SSU rRNA". It matches the Rfam family "Bacterial small subunit ribosomal RNA", at positions 8 to 526 of the family's 1533-position model. The record is from RNAcentral.
AGAGUUUGAUCCUGGCUCAGGAUGAACGCUGGCGGUCUGCUUAACACAUGCAAGUCGAACGGAGUGCUUCGGCACUUAGUGGCGGACGGGUGAGUAACGCGUGAGAAUCUGCCCUCAGGACGGGGACAACGACUGGAAACGGUCGCUAAUACCCGAUGUGCCGAGAGGUGAAAGAAAUUCGCCUGAGGAUGAGCUCGCGUCGGAUUAGCUAGUUGGGGAGGUAACGGCUCACCAAGGCGACGAUCCGUAGCUGGUCUGAGAGGAUGAUCAGCCACACUGGGACUGAGACACGGCCCAGACUCCUACGGGAGGCAGCAGUGGGGAAUUUUCCGCAAUGGGCGAAAGCCUGACGGAGCAAGACCGCGUGGGGGAGGAAGGUCUGUGGAUUGUAAACCCCUUUUGUCAGGGAAGAAGAACUGACGGUACCUGACGAAUCAGCAUCGGCUAACUCCGUGCCAGCAGCCGCGGUAAUUC